GCUGGGCGUGGUGGCAGUGCCUGUAGUCCCAGCUGCUUGGGAGUCUGAGGCAGGGAAUUUGAAUUUGGGUUUGGGAAUUCCAGGCUGUAGUGCACUAUGCUGAUCUAAGUUGAGCAUCAGUAUGGUAACCUCUUUGGAGUGGGGCAUCACCAGGUUGCCUAAAGAGGGGUAAACUGGCCUAGGUUGGAAACAGCACAAGUCAAAACUCCUAUGCUGAUAAGUAGUGGGAUCAAGCCUGUGAAUAGCCACUGGAUUCCAGCUGGGCAACAUAAAUAGACGCUGUCUCUU
Molecule: unclassified non-coding RNA, 288 nt
Organism: Pongo abelii (Sumatran orangutan)
Lineage: Eukaryota; Metazoa; Chordata; Mammalia; Primates; Hominidae
Rfam family: Metazoan signal recognition particle RNA
About the family: The signal recognition particle (SRP) is a universally conserved ribonucleoprotein. It is involved in the co-translational targeting of proteins to membranes.
Source: Ensembl